GAGUUUGAUCCUGGCUCAGAUUGAACGCUGGCGGCAUGCCUUACACAUGCAAGUCGAACGGCAGCACGGGAGCAAUCCUGGUGGCGAGUGGCGAACGGGUGAGUAAUAUAUCGGAACGUGCCCAGUCGUGGGGGAUAACGCAGCGAAAGCUGUGCUAAUACCGCAUACGAUCUCUGGAUGAAAGCGGGGGACUCGCAAGGGCCUCGCGCGAUUGGAGCGGCCGAUAUCAGAUUAGCUAGUUGGUGGGGUAAAAGCCCACCAAGGCGACGAUCUGUAGCUGGUCUGAGAGGACGACCAGCCACACUGGAACUGAGACACGGUCCAGACUCCUACGGGAGGCAGCAGUGGGGAAUUUUGGACAAUGGGCGAAAGCCUGAUCCAGCAAUGCCGCGUGCAGGAUGAAGGCCUUAGGGUUGUAAACUGCUUUUGUACGGAACGAAACGGCUCCUCUUAAUACGGGGGGCUAAUGACGGUACCGUAAGAAUAAGCACCGGCUAACUACGUGCCAGCAGCCGCGGUAAUACGUAGGGUGCGAGCGUUAAUCGGAAUUACUGGGCGUAAAGCGUGCGCAGGCGGUUAUAUAAGACAGAUGUGAAAUCCCCGGGCUCAACCUGGGACCUGCAUUUGUGACUGUAUAGCUAGAGUACGGUAGAGGGGGAUGGAAUUCCGCGUGUAGCAGUGAAAUGCGUAGAUAUGCGGAGGAACACCGAUGGCGAAGGCA
Molecule: ribosomal RNA, 721 nt
Filed under: uncultured bacterium
Lineage: Bacteria
Description: bacterial SSU rRNA
Rfam family: Bacterial small subunit ribosomal RNA
Source: RNAcentral